CAACAGAUGAUGCCUAUCAACUGUUUAAAGAUGGUUCUGCUAUCGCUCUUGGGAUGGGACCUGCGGGUGCAUUAGCUAGGUUGGUAGGGGUAACGGGCCUACCAAGGCGAUGAUGCAUAGCCGAGUUGAGAGACUGAUCGGCCACAUUGGGACUGAGACACGGCCCAAACUCCUGCGGGAGGCAGCAGUAGGGAAUCUUCCACAAUGGACGCAAGUCUGAUGGAGCAACGCCGCGUGAGUGAAGUAAGGGUUUCGGCUCGUAAAGCUCUGUUGUUGGUGAAGAAGGACAGGGGUAGUAACUGACCUUUGUUUGACGGUAAUCAAUUAGAAAGUCACGGCUAACUACGUGCCAGCAGCCGCGGUAAAU
RNAcentral lists this ribosomal RNA (367 nucleotides) under uncultured Lactobacillus sp. RNAcentral describes it as "bacterial SSU rRNA". It matches the Rfam family "Bacterial small subunit ribosomal RNA", at positions 173 to 525 of the family's 1533-position model. The record is from RNAcentral. Lineage: Bacteria; Bacillati; Bacillota; Bacilli; Lactobacillales; Lactobacillaceae.